GACGAACGCUGGCGGCGUGCUUAACACAUGCAAGUCGAACGAGAAGAGAUGAGAAGCUUGCUUCUUAUCGAUUCGAGUGGCAAACGGGUGAGUAACGCGUAAGCAACCUGCCCUCUAGAUGGGGACAACAGCUGGAAACGGCUGCUAAUACCGAAUACGUUCUUUCUGUCGCAUGGCAGAAGGAAGAAAGGGAGGCUCUUCGGAGCUUUCGCUGGAGGAGGGGCUUGCGUCUGAUUAGCUAGUUGGAGGGGUAACGGCCCACCAAGGCGACGAUCAGUAGCCGGUCUGAGAGGAUGAACGGCCACAUUGGGACUGAGACACGGCCCAGACUCCUACGGGAGGCAGCAGUGGGGAAUCUUCCGCAAUGGACGAAAGUCUGACGGAGCAACGCCGCGUGAACGAUGACGGCCUUCGGGUUGUAAAGUUCUGUUAUACGGGACGAAUGGUACGACGGCCAAUACCCGUCGUAAGUGACGGUAC
RNAcentral lists this ribosomal RNA (480 nucleotides) under uncultured bacterium. RNAcentral's name for it is "bacterial SSU rRNA". It matches the Rfam family "Bacterial small subunit ribosomal RNA", at positions 28 to 478 of the family's 1533-position model. The record is from RNAcentral.